This is a non-coding RNA of Sturnus vulgaris (Common starling), 2651 nucleotides long. The record is from RefSeq and is a predicted model, not a curated record. NCBI's taxonomy places the organism in Eukaryota, Metazoa, Chordata, Aves, Passeriformes, Sturnidae.
CAAUACCACCAGACUAGGAGCAGUUAUGAAACCUGAUUGUGCAAAUGAUUUUAGCUCGUGCUUUCUCCUCACUCUUUGAGGAGAUUACUCUCAGGAGUAAAGCCUUGCAGGAUAUGUUUUGUUCUUACUGCAGCUGCCAAAAGCUGAAGGCAACCACUUUAUCUGCAAGACAAUAUUCAUUUAUGGGACUUCACUGGUGACAUAGGUUUGAAAACAGGAAAAUAGGCUUAAAGCCUUCCUCAGGAGAGAGAUUUACUCACAGUUUUCUCCAGUGUCAUUCAGGGGCCAACUCUGCAAGUCUGCCAGAUUUGGAUUUGUUUUGAUUUCACUGCAAAAUCCUGCAAAAAUUCUGCCAACAGCAAGGCCAAUGUGUUUGAAAGCAAACGGCAUUUCCAGUACCUAAAGCCUGGUCAGGUUGAUUGCUUUGAGUCUGUAAGGUCAUCAUGGUUGAAGGCAUGAAGAUGAGGACAUCAAAGCCUUUGCCCACUUCUGACAAUUACUCUGGAGGCAAACACAGCUCAGAAGACAAAUGUUAUGAGCUACCUGUAAGUUCUGGUUCACAAAACAGAUGAGAAUCCAGAGUUACUUCUGAACUUGGAAAUGAAAUUUAUUCUCAAGGUGGAGCCUCAUCUUGAGUAGCCUUGGGAGGGUCAAAGGUUUGAAAGAGCUGUACAGUCAGCUUGGAGAUCACGAGCAUUGUCUUUUCAGAGUGGAAAAGUUCUGUUCAGAGAUUUCCAGCCAGAGAAAUCCAUAACAAUUUCUGUCUGAUUAGGGAGUGGUCCUAUCUUUUUCCCUUUCUUUUCUUUCCCUUCUCCUUCCUGCACAGCAGCUAAUGUUCUGGUCAGAAGUAAUAAUAUGUUAGAUCUUGAAUGUCAGUAGCCCCAGAGAUCCUGACAAGACUAUUCAUGUGCAUUCAUACGUCUUAACCAAAGCUGACACUAAAGAGAGCAAGAAUUCUCAUAUUCCUCUUUUUAUUUCCGUGCAUUAAACUCAAAUCUUCUCUUGGAGACCUCUGCUAGAAAUGACACAUUCACCAUUAGAAAAAGGCAUUUUAGCAAGGUCUAAACAAAGCAGCUGGACAUCAGUCUGGCUCAGGGCUGUGAGAGCCUCUGCUUUACACCUCACAAAUGUUGUGAGAUAAAUACCAAUGGGAAAUAACCAUUCCUCCCAAUCUUUCUAAAUUUCAAUUAAAAAUUAAGUGAUCUGAUUUUAUUUUUUUUUUUAACUAUGGGACGUGUCCUUAUAGGGAUAUUUGGAUUCUGGUAACUCGAGGCUGUUUUCUAAGAAACACACAGUGAGUGAAUAUUCUGCUCCACUUUUUACUCUGCACAUAUUUUACACACACUUGUAGGAUGGUGUAUAGCACAUGUUUGGCUAAUUUUGCAGGGAUCUGAUUAAGCUGUUAAAACCAGGUAGGCAAUUUUGUCAGCAAUGAUAUUUUUAAUCUUCUUUUUAAAAAUGGUUUGGUAGUAGUUACUAAGGCAGACUAGGUGGCUCUGGGCAGCUCGCCAUUUUUAGGUAGUUUAAUUUGUUAAAAAUUAUCUUUCUUCCCACCCAAAUCCCCUUGAAACCAUUUGGAGAGGAGAACUGUUGAACAGUUGCCAGUAAUAAGUCCUGCUGAGACCUCUGUAUCCUCCUGACAGAAAUGUUGGUGCCAACUGGAGACUGACUGGCACGAGUUUGAACUCUACACUGCUUGAUAUAUUUACUUCACAUGCACCAAUUACAAUAAUUACCACCUCUGUAGCUGAAGUUUAAGCACUCGGUCUGCACUCCAUACCUCAGCUUGUUGGCAGUAUGUUCAAUCCUAUAAUCUCAAUUUUCUUGGAAUAAUUAAGUAGAAAAUAAAUACUUCAAAAAAUUAGGAGAGAGUCUGAAUGGAAAUCAGAGGCUGAAUAAUAGAGUUGUUUGUCAUGUUGCUAUUGUUAAGCUGCAUUUAUUUCUAUUUAAUCUUUAUUUCUAAAAGGCAGCAUCUUCUUUUGCCUGCAGAGAUUCAUCAGGAGAUGCUGUAAUCCACUGAUUUUUAUUUUCAGCAGUGGAGUAUCUCUUGAUGUGAAUGAAAAAGCAACAUGAACUCCUACUUUAGAUGUUUUAAAAAUAUAUUCCUUUCAAAAUAAAUGCUUUUGACUAGAAGGGGAAAACACCCAUCCCUUACUUCUUUUGGCUGGAAGUUUCCAUGAGAGAUUGUAGGGAUUUAGUACCAGGACUGGCUUUAACUGCCAGUUCCUGAUAAUUCCUGGUUAAAAUCUGAUGCAAUGGGGACCAAUUCUCCCCCACCCUUGUUGUCUUUCCAAGAGACUGGUUAAUUUUUAAAUUGGAUCAGCAACAUUAAAAAAAAUUGGUAAAGUUUUCUAUUACACAAAGAUAAAUCUUAGACUGAGCACAAACUGACUUGCCUGUAGCUUUCCUAAUGUGAUUGCACUGCACAGAGUAGACACUAAAAUUUAUAUUAAAAUUUCUUUAUGCGGGUUCCCUCUAGGGAGAGGAAGAGGGAAGGAAAGAGCUUCAUGUGACAGAUGCUAAUUAUGCAGCUUAAUGCACUUCUGGAAGUUGCAGAGAUGAGAACUCUAUAAGAACCUAUCUACAAAACAAAGCACAUUUUCAACAGCAUUUUUUUCCUCAAUUCUUUUUUAAUCUGCCUCCUCUCUGUU